This 797-nucleotide ribosomal RNA is filed under the name Lycopodioides jiulongensis. RNAcentral describes it as "Selaginella jiulongensis partial 26S ribosomal RNA". It matches the Rfam family "Eukaryotic large subunit ribosomal RNA", at positions 350 to 1142 of the family's 3401-position model. Lineage: Eukaryota; Viridiplantae; Streptophyta; Lycopodiopsida; Selaginellales; Selaginellaceae. The record is from RNAcentral.
UCCGCGAGGGGAAAGAUGAAAAGGACUUUGAAAAGAGAGUUAAAAAGUGCUUGAAAUUGCUGGGAGGGAAGCGAAUGGAUGCCUUUGUUGCCCGCUGGUUGUGUGCGGAACGGCGUAAAAGCUGGUCUGUCAACCAACUCAGCGGGCUCGCUAGUGUGGGGGUGGAUGCCUGGACAAAGAUCCCGGGCUUUCUGUUCGGGAUUGAUGCUGGUGUCCACUCUGUGGCCUUGGGUGUGCGCCUUUCUGGCGGGUUUGUUUACCCUGCACGCCCGGGACGCUGGUGGCUUUUGGUUUUUCAUUCGACCCGUCUUGAAACACGGACCAAGGAGUCUAACAUGUAUGCGAGCCUGCGGGUUUGACACCUCGCUAGGCGUAAGGAAACUGAUGCGUGGGAUCCCCUUUGUGGGUGCACCACCGACCGACCAUGAGCUUCUGCGAAAGGUUCGAGUUGAAGCAUACCUGCUGGGACCCGAAAGAUGGUGAACUAUGCCUGAGCAGGGCGAAGCCAGAGGAAACUCUGGUGGAGGCUCGUAGCGAUACUGACGUGCAAAUCGUUCGUCAGACUUGGGUAUAGGGGCGAAAGACUAAUCGAACCAUCUAGUAGCUGGUUCCCUCCGAAGUAUCCCUCAGGAUAGCUGGAGCUCAUAUUGAGAGUUUUAUCAGGUAAAGCGAAUGAUUAGAGGCAUUGGGGGUGAAACACCCUCGACCUAUUCUCAAACUUUAAAUAGGUAAGGUGUCGGGGUGCUCCGGUGAACCCCGACCUUUGAAUCUGAGCUCCAAGUGGGCCAUUUUUGGUA